RNAcentral lists this small nucleolar RNA (107 nucleotides) under Gossypium raimondii (Peruvian cotton). RNAcentral describes it as "snoRNA LOC128032147". It matches the Rfam family "Plant small nucleolar RNA R71". Rfam says of the family: R71 is a member of the C/D box family of snoRNAs containing the C (UGAUGA) and D (CUGA) box motifs. Multiple nearly identical copies of this snoRNA have been identified in Arabidopsis, and it is thought to function as a 2'-O-ribose methylation guide for 18S ribosomal RNA. The record is from Rfam by way of RNAcentral. Lineage: Eukaryota; Viridiplantae; Streptophyta; Magnoliopsida; Malvales; Malvaceae.
AAACCAUGCAUCGAGCAUUUUCUAAUUAACUCCUUGAAUUACUUCCAUGCUUCAUAUAAUGUUUCAUCCUUAGAUUUCCGAAAGGAUGUAAUAUCGUUCCUCAGUUU